Molecule: long non-coding RNA, 634 nt
Organism: Oncorhynchus keta (chum salmon)
Lineage: Eukaryota; Metazoa; Chordata; Actinopteri; Salmoniformes; Salmonidae
Exons: 3
Source: RefSeq, a predicted model, not a curated record
GGUGGGGACUGUCUCCCUGUACAGGUGAACAUGGUCCUAGAGACAGUCCAGAUCGAGGGUGGGAUAGUGGGGACUGUCUCCCUGUACAGGUGAACAUGGUCCUAGAGACAGUCCAGAUCGAGGGUGGGAUAGUGGGGACUGUCUCCCUGUACAGGUGAACAUGGUCCUAGAGACAGUCCAGAUCGAGGGUGGGAUGGUGGGGACUGUCUCCCUGUACAGGUGAACAUGGUCCUAGAGACAGUCCAGAUCGAGGGUGGGAUAGUGGGGACUGUCUCCCUGUACAGGUGAACAUGGUCCUAGAGACAGUCCAGAUCGAGGGUGGGAUAGUGGGGACUGUCUCCCUGUACAGGUGAACAUGGUCCUAGAGACAGUCCAGAUCGAGGGUGGGAUGGUGGUGACUGUCUCCCUGUACAGGUGAACAUGGUCCUAGAGACAGUCCAGAUCGAGGGUGGGGUGGGGGGACUGUCUCCCUGUACAGGUGAACAUGGUCCUAGAGACAGUCCAGAUCGAGGGUGGGAUAGUGGGGACUGUCUCCCUGUACAGGUGAACAUGGUCCUAGAGACAGUCCAGAUCGAGGGUGGGAUGGUGGGGACUGUCUCCCUGUACAGGUGAACAUGGUCCUAGAGACAGUCCA